UACGGGGGGGGCAAGCGUUGUUCGGAAUUACUGGGCGUAAAGGGCUCGUAGGUGGCCAACUAAGUCAGACGUGAAAUCCCUCGGCUUAACCGGGGAACUGCGUCUGAUACUGGAUGGCUUGAAUUUGGGAGAGGGACGCGGAAUUCCAGGUGUAGCGGUGAAAUGCGUAGAUAUCUGGAGGAACACCGGUGGCGAAGGCGGCGUCCUGGACCAACACUGACACUGAGGAGCGAAAGCCAGGGGAGCAAACGGG
RNAcentral lists this ribosomal RNA (253 nucleotides) under uncultured bacterium. RNAcentral's name for it is "partial 16S ribosomal RNA". It matches the Rfam family "Bacterial small subunit ribosomal RNA", at positions 524 to 776 of the family's 1533-position model. The record is from RNAcentral.